Molecule: long non-coding RNA, 160 nt
Organism: Sander lucioperca (pikeperch)
Lineage: Eukaryota; Metazoa; Chordata; Actinopteri; Perciformes; Percidae
Exons: 4
Source: RefSeq, a predicted model, not a curated record
GAGGUUAUUGGGCCCGUCCAGUUUAACUCCACAUACUGUUGUGUUGAUGUAGUUUAUUGUCAAAACGUUCGCUUUCUUCCGAGUCGACUAUUAAACGAACAGCACCACCAAAAACGUCACCGCGGUGACGUUCAACUUCAGAUUGAAUGUUGUACAAUUA